GGCGUGAGUUGAAGGACUCUGCACUGAGCUCUGGCACCAAUCAUGUAGCACCUGAGAAUGUGGGAAGAUAUUGAUCCACAAGCUACUAAACCAGCGAUCCACAAAUUAGAAGCUACACAAAUAUUUCGUGUCUUAUGAGUCCAGGAUGAAUCUGCCUCAAUGCUGUUUAGGUGGGCAGGAAGAGGACCCAAGAUAGAACUGCAAGGCCAAGUAUGGGAAAUUCAAAACAAAAUUGGAAGAAGUUCUUUGAAGUCAAAUGCACCAGUCAAAAAUGUGAAAAGUACAUCCUGACACAACUGACUCCUGCUUUUUCUUCCUUGUGAGGUUAGUUAAACCAGCAUAACCUCUUUUAAACCUCUUUUCCCUUGCUUUACAUUGAUGUAAAAGACCGUGAGACAUGGAAAGCAGCAGUGGUCUGGGCUUUUCACGGCCUGACUUCCCACUGAGGACAUAACCUUGCUCUCAACCAGUGCCUGACCUGAUCUGAAAACCAAGGGUAACUUCUCUGUACCUAGUGGGCGCUCUCUCUGAUCCCAGAAGGGACAGCAGAUUAACUUUAGCUCAUGCCUGAAGAGCUACUCACCUAUGCUGUAUUUUCUGAAGCCAAGGAGCUACAAAGUUCUUCAUAUGCUGCAUUCUGAAAAGACACUGACUCGCAAACCUUCACAUUUGCAAAGAAAAAUACCCAGCAGCUGGAAGUAAAGUGAAAGCUUCCUCCCUGCCUCCUGCCCUCUCUUCCUUCCUUCUUUCCUCCCUCCCAAAGAUAAAGUGGCAUUCUGCUCUAUUCCUACAAAAGUGAGAACUGGAUUGGUCCUCGUGGUUUGCUUCAGUUAUAUUUGGUAAUUUUUUUUAACUGCCUUCCUGUAGUAUGACUCCCAGUAAUAACACCAGGGCUUUAAAAAGACUAAAGGCUCCCAGGGUUGCAGCUGGUAAAUUUUCAUGCAGAAGCUACAGAGUAUUUUCCCCACUACAGUAGAUCCUCUUAUCUGGCUCAUUAUCAGUAGAAUCCCGUGUACACUAAAAUCCAGAGGCAGCAAAAUACUCAGGCAUGUGCUUAGAGAUAAGCUCAUGUUUACAUGAUUUGCUAGACCUAUAGACAAAAGCUGUUAUGGAGAGACUGUGAUACCAUACUGAUCAAUCGUCACAUUUCUUCCAGCUCUACAUAUCCUUUACAGGCUGAAAGCUGGAGAAGCAUGAGUUACCUACAUUUUAACAGCCCUUUUACUUCCCUGAAGAGCCAAUGGUAAAAUCUAUUUCAGCUUUACCACCUGCCCUGAGUCCUAGCGAAGGGGAGAGAUCAAAACUGAAUGGUGCAGCCUACAGCUGCAUGGAAAGUCCUACUUUUUUUUUUUUUUAAAGGAAAGCAAAGGGUGUCAACAAAUGGGAAAGCUGACUGUUACUGGGAAGCAUUUUCAUUCCAGUUUGUACUGCAAAUGCUGUUCAGCUACAUGAAGCAUAUAAAAAAUGACUGCAGAUUUCUGUAGUGUCCUGUCAAGUAGGUUAGCACGAUAAAGACAGAUGGCAAAGGAUUAUAUCUAAUUCUUUUUCCUAAUUUAUCUUUUCCUGACCAUUCCACUGCACUCAGUCUAACUAGAGAUAUACCAACCUAACCUCCUCUCCAUAACUCACAGUGACAAACCGCGUAUAGAAUUUGCAACAUCCCAUCAUUAGGAACGUUUAAUUGGACACAACUGCUUUUCAUCAGCUGCCUUUAAAUGCUGUUUCUGGUUGAAUGAUGUUUGCAGUGUUACAAUGGUAGAAUUCCAGCUUCAUUUUUAAAGCAAGCAUCCUAAAAAGCCCAGGAAUAUCAGAGUGCUUCUGGUGAAUGUAUCUGUCCUGCUCAGGCAAAGAUGAAUUUCAGGCUGGAAUCUCUUACCUAGAUGUGGGUAAUCUCACAGCACAAUACUAACAGUGCUGUCCUAAAGAUACCUUACUGGUUCUUUCCU
Phalacrocorax carbo (great cormorant) is the source of this 1946-nucleotide non-coding RNA. Lineage: Eukaryota; Metazoa; Chordata; Aves; Suliformes; Phalacrocoracidae. The record is from RefSeq and is a predicted model, not a curated record.